AAAGUUCUGUGGAACCACCAUAAUCUAGAAGAGUGUACAUGGGAGAUGCGGGAGUCGAUGCUUCAGCAGUAUCCAUAUUUGUUUUGAGGUUAGUUUCCUCCUUUUAUGUGUUACUUGUUUGUUUUAGAAACAUUCGGGGACGAAUGUUCUUAAGGGGGGGAGAAUGUAAUACCCGGCUGGAGUCCGGCAUCAGAAUUCUACUUUCCGGUGGAGUCCAGGAUGUCGGAAGUCUCUAGAAGGGUUAGAUUUAUGUUUUUCUGAAAUGUUUUGAUAUGUUCAUUAAGUUUUAUGCAUA
Molecule: long non-coding RNA, 295 nt
Filed under: Manihot esculenta (cassava)
Lineage: Eukaryota; Viridiplantae; Streptophyta; Magnoliopsida; Malpighiales; Euphorbiaceae
Description: long non-coding RNA (MESC_LNC012978)
Source: RNAcentral